CGGAUUUGCCUUCCUAACCAUCCUUACUUGCGAUAUGCAAAGUUGUGGCACUACGCUUGAAAGUGCACAAGGAUUACAAUCUUAAGUAACGGUACUUAGGUACGCCAAUCAAUAGUUCAUGAAUGAAGAAGUAAUAUAACUGCAAGUGGAUAGAACUAUCAUUGUAGCAUUUCAACCCGUGAGUAUUCAAAGGUGUCACAUUUAUAAUUCCCGUAGGAAGAAAAAUGGAUCAAGCAUGGUGUAAACAUGAUUACUUAUUGAAUGGUUGGUAGACAUAGAGUAAAUAGGAAUAAACAUGAUAUUCAAGAUAGUGGACACACAUUGGAUCAACCUCAAGGAUAAAAUAGAAGAGAAAUAAUAAAUAAAGAAUAAAGAAAUAAAUCU
This 384-nucleotide long non-coding RNA is filed under the name Sorghum bicolor (sorghum). RNAcentral describes it as "long non-coding RNA (SBIC_LNC013971)". The record is from RNAcentral. Lineage: Eukaryota; Viridiplantae; Streptophyta; Magnoliopsida; Poales; Poaceae.